RNAcentral lists this ribosomal RNA (253 nucleotides) under uncultured bacterium. RNAcentral describes it as "partial 16S ribosomal RNA". It matches the Rfam family "Bacterial small subunit ribosomal RNA", at positions 524 to 776 of the family's 1533-position model. The record is from RNAcentral.
UACAGAGGUCCCAAGCGUUGUUCGGAUUCACUGGGCGUAAAGGGUGCGUAGGUGGUGAGGUAAGUCUUAUGUGAAAGCUCGGAGCUUAACUCCGAAAUGGCAUAGGAAACUACCUUGCUGGAGGGUUGGAGGGGGGACUGGAAUACUUGGUGUAGCAGUGAAAUGCGUAGAUAUCAAGUGGAACACCAGUGGCGAAGGCGAGUCCCUGGACAACUCCUGACACUGAGGCACGAAAGCUAGGGGAGCAAACGGG